AGAGGAGACUGACUAAAGUUUGGUUGACGACGGAGUCCUUGUCACAGCAAAGAAUCAUCCUGCCCUUGUCUAUUCUUGGGUAAAACCCACCCCAGCCUUCCUCAUGGCUCCUUUUUGGUGCUGUGUUUCAGGCAGGAGCAGAAUCCUCACCUUUGGAACCCUGUUCACUCCACCCAGAACAAGAAACAGAUCGAGGAAGAGGCAGAGUAACAACAGCCGGGAAGAAGAUACAGUUUUGUCAUUUUGUAGUGAGACUGUGCCCUAUACAUGAACCUAUUUGCCAGACCCAUCAAGUGAAUUCCGUGAUUCUUAUGAAAAAGCUAAGUUUAUUUCAAAGUUUUAGUAGAACACAUUGAAAAUAGUCAUCACUUAUUGUGCUCAGAGCCACUUCAUUGAUUUUAUUUCUUAAGCUAGAUAGCUAUCAACUACAAAGUCAGCCUUCUGGGAAGAAACCUGUAUGUCAUGAAAUCAGCAUGAAUUUUAGGUUAAGACAAAUCUGCAUUUCAAUCUUUGCUUGGCCAUUUAGAGUUUUGCAAUUAUGGGUGGUUCCAUGGCCUAACUGAGCUUCAGUUUCCUUAUUUGUGAAAUUGGGUUAAUACAACUAUUACAGAUUAGCACAAAUGAAGUAUAUGUAGCAAGCAUUCAAAACACAUUACAAUUCCUUGCUUAUUCUUUAGCCUUUUUGGUUUCUUCAUGUUUAGCCCAUGUAAAGUGAAGUAAAUCAAAUAAACCAUCGCUGAUUUUGGGUGAAGAAAUGAAACCCCAGAGCCCAGAAUUAGUACAGAUCUGGUGGUAUAACUCUAUGCUGAGCUAUACCAUCUACAUCCCUUAAUUACACUUCUAGGUUCUGACCACUAAAGUGCUGGGAUUAUGUUAAAUUCAGUUGGUGAGGAUGAAACAUAGAGCUAUGAGCUCAUCAGUAAUCUCCCCAGUCAAGCCUUCCACAUCAUUGUUUUUGCCUUUUUAGGCUCAAGAGGUUAAUGACAUUUUUUUAAAAAAUGAUUUUUCAAGUGCUUGAAGAUUACAGUUAAACUGGAUAUAUAAUCUGCUCCACUUUUGACCCUAAAAAACUGUAAAAUGCAGAAAUGUAACAUAGCGAUCUUAUCCUAACUCAGAUAAAUUUGCUAAAACACACACAUAUACUUUUGUUAUUUACAUUGGGAAAAACAAUUCUAAAUUCAAUCCUGGAUAAGUAUUUUUAAACGCAAACUUUAUGACCCAAUUCUGUUUCUACUGAACAGUGAGCUCAGGAGCAAGUGUUCAGGGAUAUGAUAAAAUCUGUAUGAUUUGAAGGAGAAAAUACGCCCGUAGUGAAAGAUAUGGGAAGAAGUUCUCACAAAUGGGAGAGAAAUUGAUUCUUUUCUUAUCAAAUUUUGUAGGAUGAGAUGCAGAUCUGAUUUCUAGGUAUUGCAGAUCAUGAGACUGAAAAAUUCAUAGGAUGCUUUAUUUUCUCCUCUUUCUUUCGCUACCUGGCAAACUGUUGGCCUGGGGUCUGGGAAGCCAUCUCUGUGUUGAGCCCCCAACCUGCUCUCCAUGAAGUUCCAAGAAGGUAACCUGACCGCGUUGGUCUUACCCCUCUGAUUAUACAGUGCCAUUAGACCUGUGAGAGGGGCUGUGACAGUGGAACCCGAAUGAAGACAGGAAAAGUCUGUAGAGGACUGAUGGUUAUGUUCACCAUUCAAAUUGCAAGAAAACCAAUAAGAAGUCAGUAAAGUGCAUUCAAAGAGAAAGGUGGGACUCGUGAAGCAAUACUAAACUGAUACACAAAGGAUCCCCGUACUUCAUCAAAAUAUCAAUGUUGUCCAUGACACACAAAGAACCCAGCUGUAGUUUAAUUCAGCAUCACAGUCCCAACAUGUUUUAAAACAUGUUCCAGCUUUUGGUCCCAGGAUUAUUCAACCUAGCUCAUAAAAGAAAACAAUAUUGCAUUUCUAAGUAUUGGCUCCUAGAAUUGGCAAGUUUAGUCAAGAAAAGCUGGAAUGCCGUUAAAACAACACCCUGUCAUCUUUCAAUCAGUCCUUAGCUGAAGUUAAAAUCCCACUCAUUCUGCAUGAUCCAGCCUCUGUAGCAUAGAGUGAGUAGCCCCUUAACAAGAACCAAAAUGGAGGGUACGGAUGAGGCUCAGAUCGUCACCACCUGGAGAAUAGAGACAGUGACUGAGUCACCAGGAAAUCUGUCCCCUGCUCAUCCCAGAAUCCCCGAGCUUUGACUUUUUAAGAGAACAUGUGACAGAUAAUGCCAUCUGAGAAGAUUCACAGAGCAACCAAAUAAAGAUGAUUGAGUGAAUGGCUAAAGAAAUAAAUAUGUUCGAAUCUGUACCCAUCUCAUGUCUUUCCUGAUGAUUGCCUCCUUUACUGUAUGUUUUCCACUGAGAUGAAGAUUUUGGUCAUUUCCUCAUUCAUGUUCCUGCUUUUCAAAACCCAAGCAAGAAAGGAAACUUCUACAGUGACUUUCUCAUUAUGAAAUCUUAGCAUUCACUAGUCGGCCAUAAUGGAAAACCAGCCAAAUGGACACAUAUACACUGGUCUGUACCCGCAGAGAAAGAAAUGCAAAUCUCUGUGAUCAGAAAACUAUCCUAUCUUGUACAUUGUUAAAAGUCUGCCUCCAAAAAGUUUACUUCUGGAAUACUGUAAUUGAAUAGAAUCAGGGAUCCUACCUGUGUCCUUCAACUUUCACAUCUUGUCUACUCAAGUAAGGGUUGAAUUUGCAUGACUAUAUCUAAGGUUCGAGGGCUUACCUGUUGGCAGUAGACCCAGUAGUCUAUGAAUGGAAAUGGGCAAACCUGUGACCUCCCAAAACUUUAAUAUGAAAGUUUUGUUUGUGUAUACUCAUGGCAUUAUUCUUUUAAUAAAGAGAUAAUCUAUAUAGUUUUCUUUUUUAAAAGAUACUUUUAUUUCUUUAUUGUUGGGAACUGACACAGCUAAUUUCUUUCUGAAGAGGUUCUUUGGUUGAGAAUGG
This 2958-nucleotide long non-coding RNA is filed under the name Homo sapiens (human). Its description in RNAcentral is "non-protein coding LINC01208:7". Lineage: Eukaryota; Metazoa; Chordata; Mammalia; Primates; Hominidae. The record is from RNAcentral.